Molecule: ribosomal RNA, 468 nt
Filed under: uncultured bacterium
Lineage: Bacteria
Description: partial 16S ribosomal RNA
Rfam family: Bacterial small subunit ribosomal RNA
Source: RNAcentral
GACGAACGCUGGCGGCGUGCUUAACACAUGCAAGUCGAACGGAAAGGCCCUGCUUUUGUGGGGUGCUCGAGUGGCGAACGGGUGAGUAACACGUGAGUAACCUGCCCUUGACUUUGGGAUAACUUCAGGAAACUGGGGCUAAUACCGGAUAGGAGCUCCUGCUGCAUGGUGGGGGUUGGAAAGUUUCGGCGGUUGGGGAUGGACUCGCGGCUUAUCAGCUUGUUGGUGGGGUAGUGGCUUACCAAGGCUUUGACGGGUAGCCGGCCUGAGAGGGUGACCGGCCACAGUGGGACUGAGAGACGGCCCAGACUCCUACGGGAGGCAGCAGUGGGGAAUAUGGCACAAUGGGCGGAAGCCUGAGGCAGCAACGCCGCGUGCGGGAUGACGGCCUUCGGGUUGUAAACCGCUUUCGCCUGUGACGAAGCGUGAGUGACGGUAAUGGGUAAAGAAGCACCGGCUAACUACGUG